CCUACGGGUGGCAGCAGUGAGGAAUAUUGGUCAAUGGACGAGAGUCUGAACCAGCCAAGUCGCGUGCAGGAUGACUGCUCUAUGAGUUGUAAACUUCUUUUGUAUUGGGAUAAACACCCCUACGUGUAGGGGCUUGACUGUAUCAUAUGAAUAAGCAUCGGCUAACUCCGUGCCAGCAGCCGCGGUAAUACGGAGGAUCCAAGCGUUAUCCGGAUUUAUUGGGUUUAAAGGGUGCGUAGGCGGUUUGAUAAGUUAGAGGUGAAAUACCGGGGCUCAACACCGGAACUGCCAUUAAUACUGUUGAACUAGAGAGUAGUUGCGGUAGGCGGAAUGUAUGGAGUAGCGGUGAAAUGCUUAGAGAUCAUACAGAACACCGAUUGCGAAGGCAGCUUACCAAACUAUAUCUGACGUUGAGGCACGAAAGCGUGGGUAGCAAACAGGAUUAGAUACCCCAGUAGUC
This 460-nucleotide ribosomal RNA is filed under the name uncultured bacterium. Its description in RNAcentral is "partial 16S ribosomal RNA". It matches the Rfam family "Bacterial small subunit ribosomal RNA", at positions 338 to 795 of the family's 1533-position model. The record is from RNAcentral.